UAUUGACGAGCAGAGUGGGAAGGAG
This 25-nucleotide unclassified non-coding RNA is filed under the name Mus musculus (house mouse). RNAcentral describes it as "oocyte_clustered_small_RNA8792". The record is from RNAcentral. Lineage: Eukaryota; Metazoa; Chordata; Mammalia; Rodentia; Muridae.